CAAUAGCGUAUAUUAAAGUUGUUGCGGUUAAAAAGCUCGUAGUUGGAUUUCUGUUGAGGACGGCCGGUCCGCUCUAUGUGCGUGUAUCUGGUUCGGCCUCGGCAUCCUCUCGAAAGCCGUUUCUGCGCUUGAUUGCGUGGUUCGGACUUCGGGACUUUUACUUUGAGGAAAUUAGAGUGUUCACGGCAGGCAAGCGCCUUGAAUAUAUUAGCAUGGAAUAAUAAUAUAGGAUCUUGGUCCUAUUUUGUUGGUUUCUAGGGCUAAGAUAAUGAUUAAUAGGGACAAUUGGGGGCAUUCGUAUUAACGCGUCAGAGGUGGAAUUCUUGGAUUGCGUUACGACGAACUACUGCGAAAGCAUUUGCCAAGGAUGUUUUCAUUGA
RNAcentral lists this ribosomal RNA (380 nucleotides) under uncultured eukaryote. RNAcentral describes it as "partial 18S ribosomal RNA". It matches the Rfam family "Eukaryotic small subunit ribosomal RNA", at positions 592 to 976 of the family's 1831-position model. The record is from RNAcentral.